UGAACGCUGGCGGCGUGCCUAAUACAUGCAAGUCGAGCGAACAGACGAGGAGCUUGCUCCUCUGACGUUAGCGGCGGACGGGUGAGUAACACGUGGAUAACCUACCUAUAAGACUGGGAUAACUUCGGGAAACCGGAGCUAAUACCGGAUAAUAUAUUGAACCGCAUGGUUCAAUAGUGAAAGACGGUUUUGCUGUCACUUAUAGAUGGAUCCGCGCCGCAUUAGCUAGUUGGUAAGGUAACGGCUUACCAAGGCAACGAUGCGUAGCCGACCUGAGAGGGUGAUCGGCCACACUGGAACUGAGACACGGUCCAGACUCCUACGGCAGGCAGCAGUAGGGAAUCUUCCGCAAUGGGCGAAAGCUUGACGGAGCAACGCCGCGUGAGUGAUGAAGGUCUUCGGAUCGUAAAACUCUGUUAUUAGGGAAGAACAAAUGUGUAAGUAACUAUGCACGUCUUGACGGUACCUAAUCAGAAAGCCACGGCUAACUACGUG
This 495-nucleotide ribosomal RNA is filed under the name uncultured bacterium. RNAcentral's name for it is "partial 16S ribosomal RNA". It matches the Rfam family "Bacterial small subunit ribosomal RNA", at positions 30 to 507 of the family's 1533-position model. The record is from RNAcentral.